Molecule: ribosomal RNA, 368 nt
Filed under: uncultured Lachnospiraceae bacterium
Lineage: Bacteria; Bacillati; Bacillota; Clostridia; Lachnospirales; Lachnospiraceae
Description: bacterial SSU rRNA
Rfam family: Bacterial small subunit ribosomal RNA
Source: RNAcentral
UUCCCUACGGGCGAUUCCAGACAGGUGGUGCAUGGUUGUCGUCAGCUCGUGUCGUGAGAUGUUGGGUUAAGUCCCGCAACGAGCGCAACCCUUAUCCUUAGUAGCCAGCAGUUCGGCUGGGCACUCUGGGGAGACUGCCAGGGAUAACCUGGAGGAAGGUGGGGAUGACGUCAAAUCAUCAUGCCCCUUAUGAUUUGGGCUACACACGUGCUACAAGGGCGUAAACAAAGGGAAGCGAAGGAGUGAUCCGGAGCAAAUCUCAAAAAUAACGUCUCAGUUCGGAUUGUAGUCUGCAACUCGACUACAUGAAGCUGGAAUCGCUAGUAAUCGCGGAUCAGAAUGCCGCGGUGAAUACGUUCCCGGGUCUU